ACAAAAUGAGCUAGCAAGUAGUGUCACUUUCAUUUCUCUUCCCACGUUGCUUUCUCUGUCUCUUUUCUUUUUCCUUCUUCACUAACCCAUUUUGGUGAAAAAACCAAAAGCAUGUUUUCAAAUUUCAAAUUCAAAAACUUCAAUACAAUCUUUAUCUUUGUGACUCCUCCUUUCUUUCUUCCAUUGCAUAUACAAGAUUCUCUCUCUUUUUUUUUUUUUCAUCCCCCAUCUCUCUCAUAACAACAACUCACGCACAACAACAAAGCUGGUAAUCUUCCUCCGUAUCAAAUCGGCACACCACCAUCUCAUCCUUUAAUAUGAAACCAAAAAUGCCGACAACGAUUGUUUUUCCGAGGCAAAAAAAUUGGUCUGAAACCCUAACAAAUUAAUCACGUCAAUCAGAUACAUGGAGUAACUUUGAUUUUGAUUUCAAGCAAAAUAUCAAUUGAAGCGGCGAUGUAUUGAAGUAACUUUGGUGAUCUUUGGAUUUUCAUGAAGGAAUGUUCAAAGGGCUUCUCAAAAAACAAGACAAGUAACAGUGAUUUUGAAUACAAGGAAAAUCAAUUGAAGCUGUAAUGGAAGGAACCGCCAUCAAGAAGGAAACACCGUCGGAUCUGCUAUUAGCAAGGACACAUAGCAGGAAUAAGUUCAAGUGAUAUUAUUAUUGUUAAUGAUUAUUUUUUAUGGUGUUUUGGUUUGAUGGUGUGCUUUGUGAUAGUUUUAGUUGAUGUUAGUUUUAUUGUUCUGAUAUUUAUAAGCCUAAGAAAAAUUAAGAACUCUCAAUCUCUCAUAUUUACAUGAAAAGAAAAAUCUGGUAUAAAAAAAUGUCAACCAGCUUUGGAUUAUGAAAAAAGAUGUUUCUCAUUAUUGUGUUUCAUUCAUUUUCGUAUUUCAUAUCAUUAUAUUUUAUUCCUUCAAUUUGUAAUGAUGUUGCUUCCUGCUCUACUUAGAUCUUUGCUUUAUUUUUUUGUUUUCAUGUGCAAUCAGAGGUUCUUGCUGCUCAUCAAAUUGAGGAUAAAUAAAGGUGUCUGCGAAAUGUACAAAUGUGCUUGGAUUGAAGCAUUAUUUUGGAAGAAGACCUGCUGGUUUACGAGCAAGGAGGCCUUUCAUGCCUUCACCAUUCUAUCCACCACAUGCUUACUGGUUUAUGAAAGAAUCCUACAUCCAUAUGAUAUGACAAGAUGAUCAAGAGAAUAGUUGAAUGGUUGUUCCAUAUGCUCAUAAGUAAGUAAGAUGCAUCUUAUUUUUUAGUUUACUUUAUUGAUAGAAUAGAGGUUCACCCAAUUUAUGGUAUUUAAGCUUAAUGUUAUAGAAUAAUUCAUUUUUUAGUAUAUAAUGCUUGAUUGAAGGUUUAUAGGCUUCAACUGCAAUGUAAGAUUAUAAGAUAAAUUUUGUGGAAUGUUGUAAGGUUGCAAAGAAUCUGCCAUUUAUUUGAUGUAAGGCUUAUUUUUUUAUUUUUUUUGAAGAAGCUAAAUCAUGUAAGGCUUAUUGAAAAGGAAUCAAAUGUGCUUCUAUUUGAUCGGGAGUAGUAUAAUCUCUCAUAUACCUUACUUUGAAGGGUGUUUGGUAGUCUAAGGUUUUGCUUUUAGUUUUAUCAUCACCAGCCCAUUGUCUUCUGUUAUAAUUUUGUCAUCAACUAUUUUUGACAUGAGUGUGGAAUGGUUGCAGGAAAGAUGUAAGAUGAAGGGAGGUUACAAAGGGAGAUAGCGCCAACACAAAUUGUUACAAAACAAUGAGAUAAUUUUGAGGAUUAUAUUUAGUUUUAUUAUAGUGUGUAGUAUUUCUUUGAUUUUCCUUUCCAUUACUUAAUUUCAUUUUAUUAUUACUACUACGUGCAAGAAUUAUAACUAUAGAGGACAUUAAGAGCAUACCACUAGCCUAUUGUUACUCCUACUGUCAUGAUAGAGAUUGUAUGGGAACUAGGCAUUGAAUCUUUUCUAGGCAUGUGAUCUAUUUGUAAUCUUUUUAGAUAUGAUUUGUAGCAUAACUAAAGUAGUUAAUGAUUAUGUAAAUCCAAAUAUUUUUCAAUGAUA
Trifolium pratense (red clover) is the source of this 2033-nucleotide long non-coding RNA. RefSeq lists it as uncharacterized. The record is from RefSeq and is a predicted model, not a curated record. NCBI's taxonomy places the organism in Eukaryota, Viridiplantae, Streptophyta, Magnoliopsida, Fabales, Fabaceae. The transcript is spliced from 6 exons.